This 229-nucleotide ribosomal RNA is filed under the name uncultured bacterium. Its description in RNAcentral is "partial 16S ribosomal RNA". It matches the Rfam family "Bacterial small subunit ribosomal RNA", at positions 568 to 796 of the family's 1533-position model. The record is from RNAcentral.
UGCGUAGGCGGGUUAAUAAGUCAGUGGUGAAAGCCCUCAGCUUAACUGAGGAACUGCCAUUGAUACUGUUAGUCUUGAGUAUAGUUGAGGUGGGCGGAAUGUGUCAUGUAGCGGUGAAAUGCAUAGAUAUGACACAGAACACCGAUUGCGUAGGCAGCUCACUAAACUAUCACUGACGCUGAGGCACGAAAGCGUGGGGAGCGAACAGGAUUAGAUACCCUGGUAGUCC